UGGAGGCGAUCUCGGAGCGCAGAGAACAGUGCAUUCAGGGAGCAGUGAGAGGUGGAAGGGGAAGCCAGGCCCGCAGGGAAGAAAGAGCAAAUGCUGGACCCAGGUCCCUAACAAAGGAGCAUGGCUACUGCCUGCAGCUGCUCCCCGGCUGCUUUCUGCAGAGCCUGCAGGCCUCCGCUCCUCCUGCAGUCUGUUACUAGUCACUUGGUGAGUGGCCUCAGUGUCCCAGUGAUCCAGGAGGACACAGGGAGAGGCUGUUCUCAAAACUGGGGGUGGGGGCGGCACGGGGUUGGGGGGGGAAGACUUCAAAAUCGGUCUCUGCCCCUUAAGUGUCCCAGCCCAGCCCCCACCCAGGGGACCCACAGUGCUGACUCCCUCCAGCAAGGCAGGCCCUCCAGGCCACAGCAUCCACGGAUGGGCCUGUCUCAUCAACUGGCUGAUGAAGGUUGUGAGGCUGCACCUCAGGUCUGUGGAAAGAGGUCUCUGCAUCAAUUACUGAUGCCCUGUCAGGGCUACAGGUUACUGCCACAUAUUUGCCAUCCCUCUUGCCUUUCACAGACAGGAAACCAGAGGUAUGAAUGCAUUGAUGGAUCAGUGGUGGGCCUGGGACUAGACCCCCAGCCUUCGCGGUCAGAGUCAAUAUUCCUCCGCUGCAGAGCACAGGCUGAGGAGGGAAGAAAGUGGAGCCACUGCACAAUUUCAUCUCCUGUUCCCCUAGCACCGCAGGUGGCCAGGGUGACAGGCAACCGCAGCGGGACCAAGAGACACAAUGAGGUGUGACGGACAGGGCAGAAGGGGCCUGGCCUGAGCCUUGUUUGUGAGGUGGGAUGAUCAUGGUACCCACAGGGGACAUGGGUCAGGGUGCUGGGCGUUCAGUACAUAACUGUUCACUGGGGCUGGCAUGGUGUCUAAAGGACCCUCUGAGUAGCCAAUAGCGGAGGAGAGUUUUGUGACUUAGGGUAUUGGUCUGAGUUGUGGAGGCCUCUCUCUGUCCACCAUGGGUUAAGAAUGGUCAAGGGUGGCCUCCAGGAGCUGAGAGCAGUCCCACCUAGGGAUCCUGCCUCCUUGCUCCAAUCAUC
This 1079-nucleotide long non-coding RNA is filed under the name Sus scrofa (pig). RNAcentral describes it as "lncRNA (ENSSSCG00065072341.1)". The record is from RNAcentral. Lineage: Eukaryota; Metazoa; Chordata; Mammalia; Artiodactyla; Suidae.